UACGUCGGGUCCGAGCGUUGUCCGGAAUUAUUGGGCGUAAAGGGCUCGUAGGCGGUUUGUCGCGUCGGGAGUGAAAUCUUACAGCUUAACUGUGAACUUGCUUCCGAUACGGGCAGACUUGAGGCAUUCAGGGGAGAACGGAAUUCCUGGUGUAGCGGUGAAAUGCGCAGAUAUCAGGAGGAACACCGGUGGCGAAGGCGGUUCUCUGGGAAUGUACUGACGCUGAGGAGCGAAAGUGUGGGGAGCGAACAGG
Molecule: ribosomal RNA, 253 nt
Filed under: uncultured bacterium
Lineage: Bacteria
Description: partial 16S ribosomal RNA
Rfam family: Bacterial small subunit ribosomal RNA
Source: RNAcentral